Molecule: non-coding RNA, 387 nt
Organism: Schizosaccharomyces pombe (fission yeast)
Lineage: Eukaryota; Fungi; Ascomycota; Schizosaccharomycetes; Schizosaccharomycetales; Schizosaccharomycetaceae
Source: the annotation of a GenBank genome assembly
AAAGAUCCAUUAGAGUAGGUAGAGUUUUCAAAUUUAAAAAGCGAAGUAAGGAUUGCUGGGCUAUGCUUUUUAGUUCAAGAAAAAGAAGCUCGUCUGCAAUAGACAAAAUUUCGAACAUAGUUUCCAACCAAUUAUGAAAAUCGGAUUCUUUCAAAUCGUCAAAAAGCUCAACUUUUAAGUCACUGUAUACAUGACGAAGAACAAUUGACAUAUGCUCAACAGUCAAAUGAGACAAAUUGACGGUUAUUGGGAUGUCAAAACUAUUGCUUUCCAUAGAAACAAAUUGGAAAUAAGAACUAAAGUAUUCACUGCGGAGACUUAAAAAAAGACCAUGUGCCUUGAGCUCUCCAUCUUUAAGCUUUAUUACUGUAUCCAUUGUUUCUUCGC